AUGAUUAUAGUUUAAAACACACUUGAUUUGCACUCUAAAAAAUAUAGUAUUCUCUAUUUAUCUUA
This 65-nucleotide transfer RNA is filed under the name Cyrestis thyodamas (common map butterfly). Its description in RNAcentral is "tRNA-Ala". The record is from RNAcentral. Lineage: Eukaryota; Metazoa; Arthropoda; Insecta; Lepidoptera; Nymphalidae.